GCCGGCAGCCGUAUCACCCUAAAAUGGCGGCAGCUCUCAACUGGCUACCCACUGAAGCUAAGCAGGGUUGAGCCUGGACAGUUCCUGGAUUGGAGACCUCCUGGGAAGCUAUGGUUGCUGCUGGAA
Molecule: ribosomal RNA, 126 nt
Organism: Lepisosteus oculatus (spotted gar)
Lineage: Eukaryota; Metazoa; Chordata; Actinopteri; Semionotiformes; Lepisosteidae
Source: Rfam